UACAGGGGGUGCAAACGUUGCUCGGAAUCAUUGGGCGUAAAGCGCACGUAGGCGGUUCGUUAUGUCGGAUGUGAAAGCCCUUGGCUUAACCGAGGAAGUGCAUCCGAAACUGGCGAGCUAGAGUACUAAAGAGGAUCGCGGAAUUCCCGGUGUAGAGGUGAAAUUCGUAGAUAUCGGGAGGAACACCAGUGGCGAAGGCGGCCUUCUGGACCAGUACUGACGCUCAUGCACGAAAGCGUGGGGAGCAAACAGG
RNAcentral lists this ribosomal RNA (253 nucleotides) under uncultured bacterium. RNAcentral describes it as "partial 16S ribosomal RNA". It matches the Rfam family "Bacterial small subunit ribosomal RNA", at positions 524 to 776 of the family's 1533-position model. The record is from RNAcentral.